AGUGAACGCUGGCGGUAGGCCUAACACAUGCAAGUCGAACGGCAGCACAGUAGGAGCUUGCUCUUACGGGUGGCGAGUGGCGGACGGGUGAGGAAUACAUCGGAAUCUACUUUUUCGUGGGGGAUAACGUAGGGAAACUUACGCUAAUACCGCAUACGACCUACGGGUGAAAGCAGGGGAUCUUCGGACCUUGCGCGAUUGAAUGAGCCGAUGUCGGAUUAGCUAGUUGGCGGGGUAAAGGCCCACCAAGGCGACGAUCCGUAGCUGGUCUGAGAGGAUGAUCAGCCACACUGGAACGGAGACACGGUCCAGACUCCUACGGGAGGCAGCAGUGGGGAAUAUUGGACAAUGGGCGCAAGCCUGAUCCAGCCAUACCGCGUGGGUGAAGAAGGCCUUCGGGUUGUAAAGCCCUUUUGUUGGGAAAGAAAAGCAGCAGGUUAAUACCCCGCUGUUCUGACGGUACCCAAAGAAUAAGCACCGGCUAACUUCGUG
This 492-nucleotide ribosomal RNA is filed under the name uncultured bacterium. RNAcentral describes it as "partial 16S ribosomal RNA". It matches the Rfam family "Bacterial small subunit ribosomal RNA", at positions 29 to 507 of the family's 1533-position model. The record is from RNAcentral.